UGGACCUGAUAUCAGGCAAGAUUACCCGCUGAACUUAA
This 38-nucleotide ribosomal RNA is filed under the name Phytophthora capsici. RNAcentral describes it as "partial 28S ribosomal RNA". Lineage: Eukaryota; Oomycota; Peronosporomycetes; Peronosporales; Peronosporaceae. The record is from RNAcentral.